This 668-nucleotide ribosomal RNA is filed under the name uncultured bacterium. RNAcentral describes it as "bacterial SSU rRNA". It matches the Rfam family "Bacterial small subunit ribosomal RNA", at positions 65 to 718 of the family's 1533-position model. The record is from RNAcentral.
CGCUGAAGAGAGGAGCUUGCUCUUCUUGGAUGAGUUGCGAACGGGUGAGUAACGCGUAGGUAACCUGCCUUGUAGCGGGGGAUAACUAUUGGAAACGAUAGCUAAUACCGCAUAACAAUGGAUGACUCAUGUCAUUUAUUUGAAAGGGGCAAAUGCUCCACUACAAGAUGGACCUGCGUUGUAUUAGCUAGUAGGUGAGGUAACGGCUCACCUAGGCGACGAUACAUAGCCGACCUGAGAGGGUGAUCGGCCACACUGGGACUGAGACACGGCCCAGACUCCUACGGGAGGCAGCAGUAGGGAAUCUUCGGCAAUGGGGGCAACCCUGACCGAGCAACGCCGCGUGAGUGAAGAAGGUUUUCGGAUCGUAAAGCUCUGUUGUAAGUCAAGAACGAGUGUGAGAGUGGAAAGUUCACACUGUGACGGUAGCUUACCAGAAAGGGACGGCUAACUACGUGCCAGCAGCCGCGGUAAUACGUAGGUCCCGAGCGUUGUCCGGAUUUAUUGGGCGUAAAGCGAGCGCAGGCGGUUUGAUAAGUCUGAAGUUAAAGGCUGUGGCUCAACCAUAGUUCGCUUUGGAAACUGUCAAACUUGAGUGCAGAAGGGGAGAGUGGAAUUCCAUGUGUAGCGGUGAAAUGCGUAGAUAUAUGGAGGAACACCGGUGGCGA